UGCAAUUGUAACCCAAGUCCGGUGGGGAGUUCAAAGGCGUUGUCCAUGAAGAUGUAGUGAAGAAACAAGUCACUCCUUAAGCCUUUCUUGAUGGCCUCUCCAACCUGUGGGUCCAACAGGGCACAGUAACUACAAGAUUGUAAGGAGCCUGGGAGAUCUAAAAAGAGCACUGGCUAAUCUCAUUGCCCUAUCAUGGGGCCUGGCCGACUUACCAUCUGGGGGAUCCCCUGCAGAGUGCGAACACCAUUCAGCAGAAGCUUUCCCAGGAGCUGGAGGUCAUGGAGCCUGACAAAGCCAAGCUCCUCUCCCAGGAUGCGGAGGUAGGCUCUGGCUUCUGGGAAUUCUCUGGAUUUCAAAUCUUUGAUCAGUUUCUCAAUAUUGAGCAUAAUUCCAUUGACCAUGUCCUGGGAUUUUAACAACAAAAUGCCUAAUGAGAUGUCAGCAUUGUCAGACAUUUAGAGUCCUGAUGUGGGGCCCACCUGCUGGUGCCAUGAUGGGCUAAACACAAGUAUUCAAGGUGGGGAUCUAGGGAAGCCACUGAAAUCAGACUCCCACCUUUUACUGAAAAAUAGAUAGCUCCUCCAAAUUGAGAUGAAAAACAACAACGACCCUGAGGUCUUACCACGGAUAGCAAUGCUUCCACACUGUUCUUAAUUUGAAUAAUGCAGGCAUAGGAAGAUGUCAGGAUUCAUAGGGCUAACCAGGAGUAGAAGACUGUCUAUCCCUCACCCCUUCCCAGCUUACCCCUUUCUUCUCUGAUCAGGGAUGAAUACUAGGGGUUUCUUGAGAAAAUGCAGCUGCUGUAUAAAUUGGCCAAAUGCUUUAAAAACACACCAUCCUAGACAAGUUCUUCUUAGAGUUAAGAAGAAUUCUAUAGAUUGAUGCUUAGUCAUUGAGAAAGAAGAGAGUGUUGAUAGACCCAGAACACAGCAAAGAGCCUCAGCCUCAGGUGGAGGUAGUUAAAUUACAAGGUGGAGGUGGGGCCAUCUGUGAACAUCUAGGAGUAAAUUAUUGCCCUGUCUUUCAAACUGAAAUGUGCAUACAUGUCACCUAGGGAAUGUCCUUAAGAUGUAGGUUCAGAUUCAGUAGAUCCUGGUGAGGCCUCAGAACCUGCAUUUCUAACACGUUCUGAUGUGAUGCAAUUGCCUGAACCACACUUUGGGUAAGGCAAAAAAUUAAAGAAUAAGAAACUCCAGGUUAUUCAAUCUGCUUUCUACUCCUUAAGUGGGGUCUUAUGCUGGCUUCAAAGUGGUUUGCUCCCACUAGCUAGUACACUGAUAUGAGUAAGAGCCAAAAAAAGCAGUUAAUUAUGAAAAUAUGAAUUCAAAAAUUGUAAUAGUAUCUGCUUAUUGAUCAAUCAGUACCAGUCAGGCACUCUGCUUAGCAUUUUACAAACUUUACUUCAUUUAGUUUUUAAAUCACCCUGGGAGGCAUGGAUUAUUAGCACACUCUGGGGAUGUAGAAACAGACAUAAUAUCAAACAGCUUUUCUAGGUAUGCAGUUUGAAGACAGUGUGGUGAGAAUUCAAACCCAUGCCCCCGAGUUUACACUCUUAAUCAUCAUGUGAGAGCGCCUCUAAUGAGUCUGGCCGCUGGGCACAUUGAAUAUCCAGGAGGCUUAUAAUUACAGAGGACAUAGUCCUUAUCCCCAUAGGACUGGUUAAUAACAGUCGCAACUGUCACUUCAGCUAGACAGUUCCUUGAUGACUUCUAGGCUUGGAUAAAAUGUUUUCACAUUGAGACCGAAAGCCUUCCUUGAGGGAGUACUUAACAAAAACAUACCUGCUCACGUUUAUCAUCUUUGGUAUAGCCAAAAUGGUCCACCAAGACCUUGGAGACAUGAUCAGGAACUUGGCCAUCAACCCAGUACAAAGCCUUGUUGACACUGUCUGGGAAAAAUCCUUGCUUUCCAAAAAGGGCUUCCAAUGUUGGUUCAAAGCCUUUUCCUUCCAAACCAAUCUGAGAAAGAAAAUCAGGCGAGAAAAUGCCAUCAGGUUUCUUUGUUGUAUGUCAGCCUCUAAUUCCUCUCUUUAUGUCCAUUUAAUUAAACAAGUAUUUAAUGAAUACUACAGGGUAGGAGCUGAACUUAGCACUCCACAGGAGUUGUGGUAUUUAAUUCUUACUAGAAUCUUGAAAGGCAGAACUUAUUAUUUGCCCUUUUCCAGAAGAGGCAGCUAAAGUUCAGAGAGGAUAAAUAAUUAAACAAAAGAUUCGGAGUGAGAAUGAAUUUGGGGUUUGAGCCAGAUUAGUCUGAUUACACAGCCCAUGCGUUUUCUUGGGUUUUGGUUCUAAGGACUUCUCUGAGACAUCUGCAUUUCCAUUACUACUACAGAGUCAUGCCUCAGGUGACCUCUAGCUGGAAGGCAGGGGGGCAAGGGAGGUGGGAAACAAGAAGCCCUCAAACGGUUGGUAUGAAUGAACUGCCUGAAUAUAAUUCCUCCCCAGGCUGCCUCACGGCUCCCUCAACUUCCUAUUUGUGGUGUUGUAUACAACAGGAGAGAGGACGUAAGCCUCUUCUUAGUAUCACACAUACCUCAAAGAGGUCCGCUGGAGCAAAUCCAAAGACAGUGAGGGUUGUUUUCAGCAUGCUUUCUUUAGGAAGGUAAUUAUUUGGAUCAAAUAUAAGAUUUCCUUCAAUUUUGGCUGAGACCGGAUCAAGUGAUGGAAGGGAAACAGAUUUGGAGAGGUGGUAGUUCCGGGAAAAUUUUGUGAAGUCCAUGAUGGUUGGGAGUUGAGAUCCUUUCAAAGCAUCUUCCACUAAGCUUUUCAAGCUAGAUGGAAAGAAGGAGUGUUAUUUUUAGCUUACAUGUCAUAUUACUAAUCCAUUGUCUGUCCCACCCCAAGGAAAUAGGGAUUGCCAAUUGCUACUAAAAGAUUUGGGUUUCAUUUGCUCAAGAGCUUGGCUCAGGUCUGAUGCACUUUUGCAUGAAUGUUGCCCAGGAGAAAGAACACUCCAUAAGGGUAGGCAGUGGCCUUUCGGAAUGAGGUUUAGAAUUCUAGCACUUUGUUUCAGAUGGGGGAACAUUACUCUUACUUACUCUUUGAUAUACAGUUCUUCUGAGUUUAAGAUGUUGGUGAUGUGGGAAGCCACAAAGUUCUUCACUUGUUCAUUCUGUUCCCGUGGGAGAAACUGGACAAUUUGAUUAAUAUCUGACUGGGAAGGGCUCCUCAUCAGCAUGAGAUAGGCAGCCAGUCGCUUAUCCCCUGGAGAGGCAUCACUGAGGAAAACCUGAAGAAGGACUUCCCGGACCUGUAGCCAAAAAAGGAGACUAUUACCACUGUCCUUUGGUCAGAACACAGAACAUGCCUGGCAAACACUGGUGGGGUCUGCUAGCGGUUUAUUACGCGCAAGUCGAAUUUCUUUCUGAUAACUUUUCAAAUGCUGGUACUGAAUCUUCUCACCAGUAUCCCUCAGAACAACAAGCUCCAAGGAAGGGUCUCAGAAGACACGUGUCAAAUGCAUGUUGCAUUCAACUAUAUUAACAUACUCAAGUUGUGACUUGAUGAAGGGAUGCUACUAGGUGAAAGUAAAGUUGUUUUAACACAAAUUAUUUCAGUGUGGGAAUAAAGGUGGGAAGGGGUAGUGAGAGUGUGGGGUAAAUAAAUAAGGCAUUUUCCAAAACUCUGGAGUCAUUUCCACCCAAAGUAGGGCCAGGUCGACAAUCCUAGUUUGGGAAGACUGGGGAAAUCAGGCAUGCUUUCCUAAGAUGAGUGACGGUUGAUCUGGUAGGGGGGAAGCAUGGAGCUAAAGUCUCAUAUUCUGAGUGCUAGAGUAGCAGCAUGGUCCAAUAUUUCUCUCUUGUCCACAGUCAGGUCAAUAGGCUUGCUGAAAGUGGCAAUUAGAAAGCAGUAAAAUAAAGUAAGCUGAAUGAGGAGAUUUAGAAUCUCAUUCCAAGUCCUUGUUAAUCUGAAUUAACUUUUUACAUUUAGACAUCCUCUGUGGACUUAACCUCAUCUUUAAGUUCCAUUUUCCGCAGGGCCUGGAUGGCAGCCUUCUGAAUCAGCAGUGAUGGCUCUGAACUUUGGAUACAUUUCAGGAUCGAAGACGUGAGUCUUGGGGAUACUGUCUCCAUGGUUCUGCCAGUAUUUCCAAUGACCUGCAUUGAAAAGAAAUGAGGGGGAAUCAGGGUGCAGAAAGAGAAGUAGGGGGUAUCCAGGAAAAUGCUUCUGAAAUGAUGUAUAUUAUACAAAAGACCAAAAGUACCCUCAGAAUCAAGUAGGUGUGAUCUUCAUUCCCAGUGCAAUCAUCGCGAAUCUGUUCCAACAGGUAAUCAGCAAUGUCCAGCAGGGCCUGGGUCACCACAGGGUUUGUCUCAUGAUAGCUACGGAAUAAGAGGACUCAGCAAGCAUAGCUAGGUUUACCUUAACAAACUUGUGUGUGCAGAUUUCUUAUUUCGGGGCUUUACUCUCAAAACGGCCAGUGGAAAAACAGUGUACGCAUAAGAGUCUGGAAGUGGAGGGUAAGGUAUGACCUUAGUACAGAGAUGUAGGGUCUUCCUCAACUCCUGCAAGGAGGGCCAGUGUGAAACUCACUUGUUGACCACGUGACCCAGAGCAUAUAAAGUGGUCCGGCUCUGCUGCUCCUUUGCUGUGCUGAAGAUCUCCUGCAGCCUCUCGGCCGAGGGCUCUGGCAUCAGGGCCACCAGGUAGGUCACAACAUCUGUCAGAAGGGGGUUGGCCUUCUCACUUCUCAGCCACUGGAGGAUGUGAGUGUAACACUGGGGCUGUCCACACUGAAUCAAAGCUUGUAAGGUGACGGGGCUGAGAAAGAAAGAGCAGAGGAUUACGUAGAUCACCUUUAGGCAGCUCCAUUAUCCUUGGCUCAUGAUGCUCCUCUGUCAGGAGUGCCCUCAUCUCCUGUAUUCACUCUCCAAAUCUGACCAUCUUCCGAAAUCCAACUUGUAUCCCAGGAACCAGGAAGCCUUCCCUAUAAGCACUAUCCCCUGGGGAAGCACCAUGGAGGAAAGUCUGAAGAAGGACCCCAGAUUUAUCACCAAAAGAGGACAGUUAUCCCCGUCCUUCAUUCAGAACAUAGAACAUGCCAGGCAGACACUGGCAUGGCCUCAUUUUGGUCCUCAGUCCCUCCUCUGACAUUCCCAGCACUUAGAGCCAGUGCCUUGAAGUAUAGAGAAAUCACGGUAUUACUUUGUUUGCCUGAAUUCUCUCUCCACUAGCCUAGGCUUCCAGAGGGCACAGAUGUCUUUUUCUCUCAAACUUUCCAAGGUGCUCACCAUAGAAUGAGGGAUUAGAUUAGUAGAUAUCCAUCAAAAUGUGCGAAGUAUUUCCCUCCUAUAUUAACACACAAAUGCAUAUCUGCCUUGAAUGCAGUGUGUGUGUGUGUGUGUGUGUGUGUGUGUGUGUGUGUGGCCCAUGGAAGUCUAAGCAUGUUAGCUGAUAUUUCUCUAUCCAGCAAACAUUAACUGAUUGACUAGUUGAUUAGCUGGAUUGAUAUUUUAAUGGCCCCUGAGGUUUUCUGCUUGGCCAACGUUUGCAAGUUCAGCCAGAUACCAUAGGUCAUACGAAAGAUAUGGUUGCAACCAUUAAAGAAAUACCUGGACACCUGGAUCAGCUUUGGCAAGAGGGAUGUGAUUGCCUCAUUGUUGAGGCCUCUCAGCUCAGUAACCAGUUUAUUGAAGAGGUUAGCUCUCUGGGCAUUCUGGUCAGAGACGUGUAAUGUUUGCAGUUCCUGGAGAGUCUUCACAAUGGCCUCGGCCUGCUUUGGGGGUGAUGUGGAUUUGGUGAUCUCAAAGGCCAGACCCACCUCCUCGGUACCUGGGAGGAGGAAAGCGUCAAAGGGAUUCCUGCUUAUCUACAUUUCAACCACCUCUUGGUCUCCUACAAACUAGAAAGUAGGGAGGUAUCAGCAAAGAAGAAAAGAAAACUAUACUGUACUCGAUGCCUAUUAUGUAUCUGUCUCUGUGCUAGGUAUCUGACUUCAAUGUCUUUUACUUUAAUGCAUUUGCUCAUCAUACUACCCAUAUGGGUUACUAUUAUUCUUCAAUUUAAAGAUAAGGAAACUAAGAUCCAUAGAUGAGCAACUCACCUUGCCUAAGACCUCUCUGAGUGUAAGAGGCAGAGCCGUAAUUGAAUCUCAGCUUGUCUGAAUUUGAUAUCAGAUUACCUCUUUACUGAAAGGAAGCAGAGGAGGUGCUACGGCCGAGGCUAGACCCACUGGUGCUCACCUGCCAUCUUUUCCAGAGGGAUCAGCUUAUGACCCUCUGUGUCUCCUCCAUCACCCUGCUCUGACCCAUGCCAGCAUAUGUGUUAAUGUGGGAAAUGUGGGGGAAUAACAAGGGAAAUGUGGUACCAUGGAAAGAGUCCUGACUUAGAUUAGACCUGGGGGCUCAUUUUGCAUCACUUCUAAUAUUCAGAGACCUUGAGUAUAUCACAGACCUCUCCAUGUGCCAUUUUCCCCUCUGUAGAGUGGGUAUGAAAGUCCACACAGCUACUACCAUAGGUUAUGCAUUCCCUCAUUGUUCUCAAUGAGGGAAUGCAUAAGGCAGAUUUAAAUACAAGACAAAUGCAGGGCUAGAGUUGGACUAGAGAUCGCUAAGGUUCCUUCCUACUCUAAAGAUGGAUUCCUGACCCCAAACGCCCUCUCCCACUUCCCUACCUCAUCCAGGUUCCAGGCCUAAUUACUGGGUGUAUAAAGUUGUCAGAUCUACCAAAGGUAGACUUAGGAGGCCAAUUUCCUAUUUCUGAAAAUCUGGGUAGCUUUGGGACACUUCUCCUUUUCUUUUGUCCCAUCACCACUUGACAUUCUGAAAGGAACAUGCUUGCUCACUAGAGCGGCCCAGAGCCAGAACACCAAAGCCCACUGGACUCAUUAGUCAGCAGACAUUUCCUAGGACCCAGCAAGAAGCUAAGCCAUGAUACAUGGUGUUUCUUGGGCAGACUUCCCAGCCCUGGCAACUGUGUGCACCUAAAAUCUUACCUUCAUCAAAGAAGCGGCUGUUGAUCUUAGGUGUUUCUUCAAGUUUCAAUGUCUGUGUAACCUGUGCCAUCAUCCCAUACUUAUUCCUGGUAACAAAGGAAGUACAUCAUGUCAUGGAUGGUCAGCUCCUCAGAGCGCACUAUUCUUUUCAUGUUGAGUGUUUCCCCCGUCUCAUUUCUACCCAAAUCCUGCCUAUUUUUCAAACCAUUAAAUUCAGCCUCUUUGAUCCCCUCACCUGCCAAUGAACACCACCUACCUCCACCUGGACAUGCUAGCUGUCUUUCUUUCAGAAGGACAUCUGUACCUUACACCUGUCACCAGUCUGGAGUGCCCAGAGUAUAAGAACUAAUUUGUGCCUUGAAAUUCCUGUGUAUUACCCUCAGCACAAUGCCAAGAAUAAAGCAAUUACUCAGUAAAUACAAGUUGAUGGAUCAGGUUUCAAAAUGGAUUGGUAUAUCCAAGUCUCUGGUCCCCAUCUCAAAUCCUCCAUAAAACUGUUCUAACUCUUAAAGUCUGGGUCUCAGAUACGUUUUGUUGAUAUCAAAUUAUUUUGCAUGCCUAAGAUUUUCCUGCUGAAUUGUCUGUUUGCUUGAAAAUGGCGACAGGGAUGGGCUGUGCUCUGUAGCUCCUCAUAGCCUCCUCCAGGCACAGCCUCACCUACAACACGGCACCCGACAAGCACUCAUCUCACACCGACUCCAUUAAGUGAUGAAUCAGGGUGCAGAAGGUAACCUACUUGUAGGAAAAAGGCAGGAACACAUGUUGCUCCUUACAGAUGGCUUCUGACACAUGCUUCUUCUUGGGGUCCAGAGUGUACUGGCAGGACUGGUUGCUGCUAAUCAGAGUUGACAAGGGGCCGAUCUGUGAAUGGGAUCGGGAAAAGCAUUUUGAUCAGUUCCUGAAGCUUGAACCUGAUUCUUCUACAAGGGACAUUUACCUUCGAGGAAGAUGGGAGAUGGGAGUUCUGCACCACUAGAUAAACUCAGUGAAAGAAGGGAACUUAGUACUUGACAUUGAGACAAAAGGAUGCAGCAACUUGGCAUACGCCAAGCUGAGUCAACCUGUACUCUUCUUAUUCCACCCCAAUGGACCUCUCAUCCUGUACAAAGUGUAUAUAACCUGGUAUUGUAUGCAUACUCACCCACUGCACAUUAACACUCGACAAACUACUGCUUCUUAAGUUUUCUUUGCCUAGAAGCCUGUCCUUAAGGCUCUCUUGCACUUUUAUAUCCUUUGUGUCUUUCAGGUUCAUGCUCCACAUCCUCCACGAAUCUUUGGGUCUAGACUGAUUGAUGCUUGCCCACCAUUUCUUCUAAGUGGAUCUACCAACAGCUCUGCCUAGUGAGCUGUUUGAAUAGUUGCUUCUCCUUCCUGGUUGGAGUUAGGAUUGCUUGUCUGUACUGCUCAGUGUAUAACUUUAUCAAGUAUGCCAUUUAUUGUCCUUUAUUGGCGUGUGUAGGAAUCUUGUUCCUGUAUUAGACUGUAAGUACCCUGAGGGGAAAAAUCCAUGGUUCAUCUGCCGCUGUCUCUGACCCUCAGUGCUGCCUAGAGUAAGUCUGAGCAUACAGCAGGUGCUCAAGAUAAGCCAGUGCGUUGGCCUCUUUUGAUUGUGGCCCUUGUUGUCAUCAGAUGCCCUAUUUUUGGCCCCAAGGACAAUGACCAGGAACACUGCCAAGCAUGGCAGUGAUUGCUCAAGACCUUCCAAUUUACUGAGAUAGGCUGUGAUUCACGUCCCGCAAGAUAUUACAAGGCAUUGGGCAAGCUCUGGUAAUGUGGUGCUGCAUGAGCCCUGUUGAGGUGACAGCAGAGAAGGUUAAUACUAAGGGGGUGGCCUAGACAAGAAGCAGAGGGGCCAGGUAUUGAUCAGGGUUGUAUAUGGGAUGAAAGGAAAUGACACUAGAAUGGUCUUGGUAAUGUCACUCCAUGGGAGUGAGGGAGAGGACAGCAGAACACAGGUCUUGGGGCUUCCUCAGAGGUCAGAUGCCUAGAGGUGGGGGGACAUCCAGUUCUCUUACAGGAAAGAGUGGCAAGUGGCUUUGCUGCCCUACAUUAAGCCCUAGAACCUUCUCAUGGAUGGACAGUCAUUAUUCUCCAUCGAUGGCAGAAGGUUUGGUGCCAGUGACAGAAUAACGGCAAGAAAGACAGAGCUCUGGGCUGACAGUCAGGAACCUGAUUCUUGUCUUGACUUAAUAACAGGCCAUGUGGCCUCUAUCAGUCCUUUCCUGGUUUGGUCCUCAGUUUCCUGCUGAAAUCUAUAUGAAGAUGAGGCUGGGUUGGAUCUUCUCUGAGAUUCAUACCUGCUCUAACAUUCCAGAAUUUUAAUAACCCAGAGGACUGUGCUCAGUGCAAGGAGCCAUGUGGGUGUGAAACUUACCAUGCCUUUGAUGAGAGCAAGUGGGCUAACUCCUGUGCUAAUGGGCUUGAAGCGAUCACACUUCUCCAGGUUUCUUUCGAUGGAGAUUCCUGUUGCCACAUUUGCCUUCUUUGUUUUAACAGUUAAGUCACUGGAACAGUUUCCAUACACAGUAUCCUAUGCGAGCAGAAGAGACAACAGGUUUAUCCGAUGGAUGUGCAAAAGCAGCCUUAGGUGCGUCAGAGGGGGUGGGAAAGGAGCCUUGGAGAAAAGGCAGGAGCCAUAUGGACAGGGAGGGGACUUUCUUCCUCUUAGGCAGAGUGUGGGCAAUGCUGCUGCCUGGCUGGCCAGAAGCAGAGUAAGAAAGCCAGUUAAGAGUGGUUCUGGUUCUGAUGCACUCCAGCCUGGCCUCCCAGGACCCAGCUAACUCUGACUUUUUAUUCUGUGCUCUCAGAGCAUUUUCUCUAUUGCUCAUUUACGGCAUGUAUUCCAAUCUGCCUUGUAUUUAAUGUAUCUUGGUUUUCUCCCCAGACUGCGAGAACUCCCUGAGGAAAGGCUUCUGCAGGAUACAUCUCUGUAUUCUCCAAGUGUGGUAUAGCAUAGAACUUAGAACUCAGUAAGGGCUCAGAAAUGUUCCCGGGACUCAAGUAAAUUGAAUUGUCUCUCAGAUUGAAACUUGAAAUUCUUAUGAGAGGCUGGCAACAGAUUCAAUUAUUUUCUGUGUUGAAAACACACACAGGCUUUACUUUGUGACACCAGGUGGGGAUAGAAAAAAAUCAAACAAAAGAGUAGGGAGGCCAGGACUCCUCAAAUACUGCUUUCAAAUGAAGCCAACUUGCUCAGCCUGUUCACGAGGAUCCACCAGUGAGCCCAGGAGAGAGGGGGAGCCUUGGGUACUGUGUAGCAAGCCAUGGAGCCACAUGAAUAACCCACUCUAUGUACACAGUGGGACCCGGCUGAAAUAUGUGAAGAGGAGUUCAAAGGGCCAGUAUCAUCCACUCUCUGAGCUCUCACCAGAAACAACACUUGCUCAUCCUCUUCUGUCUCUGGAGGAACCAGGAGGGCAGAAAUGAUGCCCCUUUUGAUGUUCAGGAUAUGUUUAGGCUCCUCCUUCUCUGGGUAAAGUAAAACUUGCUUCCCUUCAGGAAUGGCCAGCCUGAGUUCGUACCUGUUCCAGAGAGAGUGUGGUCACGGAAGUGUCUUUUCUCCACUGUGAGCCUGUUGGACCAAAGACACUGUUUGGCUUAGAGUAUCAAAACUGCACUCCAGAAUGCUUUCCUGAGAUGCCCACCUCCCUUGGCUCACCCACUGGGCUUCUCUCAUCAUGUUAAAUCUACCGUCCUGCAAUGCUGGUAUUCUAGAUAUGUAUUCCAAUGGCAUCUUGCAAACGAAUGGAAAAAUAAAUCUGGUUGGCAAAA
This is a long non-coding RNA of Felis catus (domestic cat), 10704 nucleotides long. RefSeq lists it as uncharacterized. NCBI's taxonomy places the organism in Eukaryota, Metazoa, Chordata, Mammalia, Carnivora, Felidae. The record is from RefSeq and is a predicted model, not a curated record. The transcript is spliced from 3 exons.